Salvia splendens (bonfire salvia) is the source of this 4982-nucleotide long non-coding RNA. RefSeq lists it as uncharacterized. The record is from RefSeq and is a predicted model, not a curated record. The transcript is spliced from 17 exons. Lineage: Eukaryota; Viridiplantae; Streptophyta; Magnoliopsida; Lamiales; Lamiaceae.
AAAUUUGAAAAUCCGCACCACUCCCAUCUAUUUCAAAAUUUGAAGACUGUACCUCUCCCAUCCUUCUCUCCCAUUUCAAAUACUCCAUCUACUUAACUUAUUUUGAAGACUCUAACGGUCCAUCUCUCCGGCGAAACUCGGCACCACCACCGUCGCUGAUUCUCCCCCUCUCUCAAUCCCACUCUCUUUCCCUCUAUAUUCUCACAAUUCCCAAAUUAGGAUGCAUCUCUCUUUCUCCCAAAAAUCUGACUCUCUCAUCUCCGGCGAAACUCGUCUCUAGCAUAUCACCACCGCAACUUCUCUCUCUCACUCACCCUGCUCUGGCCUCCACCUCCUGUCAGGUUGUGCGAAAUUUCUCAUUAAAAUUACCUAGAAACCCUACAUGAAAAAGCGGUGCCUCUAUCUCCCUCCUCCAACGGCACUGCACUCUCCCUCUCCAUCUCCAUCUCCAUCUCCAUCUCCUUCUCCUUCUUUCUCUCUCAAUUGGCGGAAUCGACUCGUGUUUUCCCCACACCAAGAGUCAUAGCCCUCGCAGAUUUCACGCCCCCGGCCUGCUCGCCCGGAGAAGAAAGCCGAGGACGUGGCUGUCUCGGAGUUUGGUCCCCACCGCGGCUGCUACUCGCCAUCAUCAGACGCCGUCGUCUCCUGCAGCAGGUCGCUGGUCUGGAUUCGUGGGCGGCGUCGGGUGUCCCCUGACUCGCGGCCUUGCCGCCACCGCCAGCUGCGCGAACCCGUCGCCUUCCGCCCUUCCGUCGUGGGUCUUUUCUCCUUUUUCUUCUCAUCUUUCUCCCUAAUUGAAUUGUAAAUUGAAUUGGUUUAGUUGGGGGCGAACUUGUAGUGUGUGAUCAUGCGUGCAAAUUAAGCUAGAAAAAGUGUUUAUUUAAUUGUCUAGACGGGAUACAUGUCACCAUCGACCUCCUCAUGGACUCGCCGUCUGAUUUCGUUGCUGCUGAUUCUCGCCGAGCGGUGAGAGGCGCUCCAGGAUCCACUGAGCAGUCGCUUCGGUCGGUGUCAUACUCCAGCCAUCUCGGCUGCAUUGUCAUUGUCAAUUUCGUCGGACUGCCGUGGACUUCUCGGCUUAGGGAAGCUUUAGCAACAAUCUUUCUACUCCCUCUGGAGAGUUUGUAUCUGGCUGGUGCUUGUCUAACGUUCUAGUUUGUGAAGAGGAUGCACCAUUAGAUGUACCUCGUUCAUCUUAUGCUCAUCAGAGAACGUCUUUGUUGAUUAAAGUGAUUGUAAACCUUGAUGGCUUUGUUCCUGAUGUAUACCAGGAUGAGAAGGAUUUGUUUCUCAACAUGUUCAUUUGGUUCAUAGAGAAGGACUAUUAGAAACUGUCAGAUGACAAAGUGUCCACAGUUCACUGUUAAGUCUUUAGUUCCAGGAUUUUUGAAUGAAGAUGAUGUACAACUGCUGAAGUAAUUUGAAUAUAUGCCUUCCUUCCAUGCUGAAAUCGGGUUAUUUGUAAGUCAGUUUGAGUUCCGAAUCGUUCGUGCUGCAUCGGAAGAUCAUUUAGUCCAUGUAAAACCUCUCUGGCUUAACAUAUGGAUGUCAUUCAUCUUUUUCCAUAAAUGAGCUUGGGAAGAGGUGGAUGCAGAAGCAACUAGCUUCCUAUAUUGGACUCCCGACCCUGAUGAAAAAAAGAGUUCUUGCAUUGCUGAAAAAAUGUUUGGUAUAGAUUCAAGAGAGUUAAAUGCUCCCUCCGAGGAAAGUUACCCGAAGGGCCAACUGGAACGUAAUACAAAGCGCUCUUAUGAUAAACUUUGGAAGCUUUAGCGACAAUCUUUCUACUCCCUCUGGAGAGUUUGUAUCUGGCUGGUGCUCGUCUAACAUUCUAGUUUGUGAAGAGGAUGCACCAUUAAAAUGAGAAGGAUCUGUUUCUCAACAUGUUCAUUCGGGUCAUAGAGAAGGACUAUUAGAAACUGUCAGAUGGCAAAGUGUCCACAGUUAGCAAUAGCUUGUGUUCACUGUUAUGUCAUGCAGAGUCUUUAGUUCCAGGAUCUUUGAAUGAAGAUGAUGUACAACUGCUGAGGGAAUACGCUUCAUAAAAAGGAAUUUUAGUGCCAGAAAAGGAAGGUAGGAAGGUAAGACUGAUCUUGUAAAGAUGACAGGAAAGAUGGUAGUAUAUAUUUAAAGACAAUUUAAUCGAUCACUCAAAAUUAAAUGUUGGAAUGUGUCGAAGAUGAUCUAAAUUGACAGAGUAUUAUGUUUUUUUAUUCUGAUAAAGAUAUAACGGUAGAGGUUUGUUUUCAGCAUUUUGGUAUGCGAGAAGGAACCAGUUUCCAGAAAGUGGGAAAUCCGAGCUUUUAUUGUAGUCGUCAAAUCCUGGGUCUUGUGAAUGUGCUUAUUUGUCUAAGUUGCUUGAGGGCGAGCAAGACUUCUGUUUGGGGGGUAUUUGAUGUGUGUGGUUAAUUUAACUUGUUAUUAUACAAUGGAUGGAAUGGAGGGUAGCAUACUACUACUCCAGUUCAAUUUUGACCACCUCACUAUUAAUUCCAGUGAGUUGAAGGGUAUAAAGCUGCAACUAAUAUUUGUAUUUUUAUAAACCUAACUUUAGUUCGAUAUUUAGUGUGUCAUUUCAUACUAAAGCCAUCAAUGAAGAACUACUGCAAAAUCUUUCUGAUGCUCUACACUUGUCGGUACCUGAUAAAAUUAGGGUUGGACUUCUUUGUCUAAUUUUGAAGAACACGAUAUCUUCACGAUACCAGGAUGUGUGGUUAGUUAUUCUCUUCUUUGUACAUACAUUUAGAUAUAAUUUUUUGUUUAGUUGUAGGAAGUGGAAUACAUACAACAGUCUAUUAUUUUUGUAUCCUUGGAAUACUUCUACCUGUUGCACUAAACCUGUAACCCUUUUCUUGGCUGUAUGCAGGAAAGAAUUUCUGUCUGAUUAAGAUUACUGAGCUGUCUGCCAAUUCUGCUGCGUUUGAGGCUACUGAUAUAAUUUAGCAUAUUCUCGUGUCACUCUUAGUCGAUUUGAAGGCCUCUCUAAGCAUUUAGAUUCAUUCUACUUGAAGGCCACUCUAAGCAUUUAGUUUCAUUUUUUCAAAAUGUUAUCCCUUGUGCAACUAAGGUGUUUUCUGUGAUAGUUCCUAGUGCAUAAAUAGAGUAGAAUGUACUUGGUCGAUCUGAAGGUCGGGGGUGGUAGGUGGAGUUUUUAACUUAUAAGAAACGGGGGGAAGGUGUGGAAAACAAAAGGCACAAGUCUAUUUAUUGGUUUUUGACCUUGCUUUGCGUGGUCUUCUGCUUCCUGGUUGUUGCGCCUAUAUUUUUAUAUUUAUUUUAUUCAUUAUUUGCUGCCUUUUGCAGCUAAUUAUUGAACUGUUACAUAUAUUAAAUUUUUGUUUGUUAUACUGUGACUGACGUUUUUCAUCUUUUUCUAAUCCACCUUUUGCUACCUUGCAGCAUAAUUAAUUAAUACAUACAUAGUAUCCUACUUUUCUUUGUCUAUGCCGUGUACAAAUAUGUGCAAUAUUAGUGUUUCUUUGAUAUGUAUACCCAUCGAUUGUCAAAUCUUGGCUUCUUAAUAUAUCUGUUAACUAGACACAUUUCCUUUUUUACUUUGGCAUUCAGUUUGCUGUACUUGCAUCUAAAAAGAAAGCAUGGGCCUUGGAAGCUGGUUGAGCACCCAAUUAGUGUCACGUAAAGAUACUUUCUAUGAGGUUAGUGUUGCCACUACUGUGGCAGGGUGACUGAAUUUUAAUAUUUUUGCAAUGCCGGAAUGGAAACUGCAGCUUGUUGUUACCAUGUAGUAAAUACUUCAAUUACAAUGGAUGGAAUCUAAACUACUUCGAUUUCUAUAUAUUUAGUCAAGUUCCUCAACAAUUUAAUUUGACUUAAUAUCUCUUAUAUGCCAGUUAAGCAGUUUAAUACGUAGUCUACUAUAUUUGAGUUUGUUAUCUUUACUGUCCGUUUGAUGAUUAUGAUUGAUACAAUAAAUUUUGGUUUACAAAUUAGUAGCAUUGUAAAAUACUAUUCAACCUAACUAUGUUAGUUGAAUCUUACCCUGUUAUAAUCAGUUUGUCUAUAAUGUUUAUCCUUUGUGAAUGCUUCUGCUUCAGGAUCAGUCAUUAAACAUCAAUGUGUGACUCACCGUACAUAGGGUAUUGCUUUACGUGCUAUUUUAGAUGCUUUGAGGAAGCCUGCAGAUUCAGAAGUUUGUUCCUUCCUAGUUUAUCAGUUAAUGUUAUUAUUGUGAAUUUCAGUUUUACCUUGGAUUUAUAACAUUCUGAUGUUUUCCUUUGAGAGUAUGGCAUUGGAGCAGUUUGUGGACCAUCUCAUUGAGUGGCCACAGUAUAGAGAGGGCACUCAACAGUAUUUAAGCGGCUUAUACCGAACCUGAUGGUGGCCAUAGUGCCAAUACUGCUCACCGACGCGGUCAUUUUCAAUCUUCAGCUCCACAUAUAGAGUCACUCAGUGGUGCUUUGCUAUCAAUACAAUCUGCCUCAUCGGAUUUACCAUGGUCAUCUAAAUCAACCUCAGCAAGUAAAUUAUCAGCUUUUGCAACACUGUGAAGCUGAAAGUGUAUCAUACCUGGAUGAGGUGGCCAGCAACACAGCAACUCAGGAUAUGGCACACACUCUGUUGGACUCGAGUUUUUGCAACUUUGUGAAGCUGAAAGUGUAUCAUACCUGGAUGAGUUGGCCAGCAAUGGCAACUCAGGAUAUGGCAAAGUUUGUUGGACUCGAGGUUCCUGCAUUGCGGAAAAAAGCUUGGUAUAGAUUCAAGACAAUUAAAUGCUCCCUCCAAUAACUCCCUCCAAGGCAAGUUACCAGAAGGGGCAACUUGAGUUUAAUACAAAGCUCUUGACAAAUGCCGUCCUAUAUGCUUCAAAUUAUCUGUCAUUCAUCAUGAAGUGUGUUUAUAGGGUUUGUAUUUUCUGUAUGUAUUUUGUGUAGUGCAGGCAGUGUGUAAUGUUUUUUUGUAUGUAUGUGUAAAGUGUGUGUAUUUGUGUAGUGCAAGCAGUGUGUAUAUUUUAUGUAUUUUGU